Non-coding RNA from Macaca mulatta (Rhesus monkey), 4541 nucleotides. The record is from RefSeq and is a predicted model, not a curated record. NCBI's taxonomy places the organism in Eukaryota, Metazoa, Chordata, Mammalia, Primates, Cercopithecidae.
UUGACGGUUUAUAGUUCACAAGAGCCAGGAAAGCUUCCCUUCUGCAUUUAUUCCAGUAAAUUCGCCAACCCUUCUUGAAGGGAGUUCUUGCUAGCCCCUAAAUAAAUUUCCCCCCACCCCCGCCCUGCAGCAUUUUAAAGCUCGUGUUUUAGCUGAUUCCUGGCCAGGCUCCUAGCCCAAGACUAGCCCCUCCCUACUGCUAGACGACUGUCCCAUUGACCUUUAUGACCCACAGAUGACCCCACUGGGCCUGGCUCACACUCUGCUUGUUGUGGCAGUAGGGCCAGAGGGUCAGUGUGGGAGGCCUGAGCUGCCCUGGGGGAAAGGAAGGAACAAAGGGGGCCCUCAGUUCCGAGCACCUGGGUAGAGAGGCUGGGCGGUGAAGUGGGUGGGGAAGGGAAGAAGGAGGGCAGCUGCCUGCAGGAAUGGAUAUAAAGGACAAGGAGGACCAUGGAGACUUUAACACUGGGCCUGGAUGGAGGAGGAGACCAAUGCUGCAAAGUCACAAUUCCCUUCCCAGUCCACCUCCCUCCCUCUGAGCCCAGAGGCCUCUUCCCUGCCCCCUGCCUCCCAACAUUGGGGCCAUUCACAGGGCCCCUCACCAGCUGCCCUCACUUCACCCAGCUCCCUCCCCUGGAAAGGGCCCAAGAGAAGGACCCAGCUGCAGCUCCAGAUGUGGAUGGGGCUCUCUGGGGGAGGGGAGCAAGGGGAGUCUGACUCCAGGCCUCUUACAUCACCCUCAGAUGAUGAAACCAUGUCAGAGAUUUUGGCAAGGGUGUGGACUGGGGUCUGAGGAUGCAUCUGUUGGUGCCAUCUUCCUCCCCUUCCCUCCUCCACUCGCAACCCACCACCCCCCGCAAUAACUGCUUCAUGCAGUAGCUCAGAUCCCUGUUUGGCUUGACCUAUUAAGGUCAAAUCAAAACCAAAGAUAAUUUUAAGAGCAAAUUUCAAGGGCCAAUCAACACACCCUUUUCAUCCCCAUGGCAAAGAGGAGGAGCACUGCGAGCAGUGCCCCCAGGAUGGAGGCUGGAGAGGAGGUCUUGGUGGGAUCCUGGACCUUUUAUUAGCAUUUGAAUCUAGAGGAAGCUCUCCCUGGGGCCAGGGGAUCGCCUCUCCUGGACCAGGAGGCUAGCAGAAUGUUGCAGUCAGAUCCUGCAACAUUCCUCCCCAUCUUCCAACCAAAAUAAGACGUGGGGAGGAGACUAACACAUAUGGACCACCUACACAAGACUUCCCAGAUGACCACCAAGGUGGAAGCGAUGGUGAUGCCAAGGCGGAAGGGAUGGUGAUGCCCAGGCAGAAGGGAGCUAGGCUGGCCCAGGCUUUUCCUGUAGGCAUAGCGGGCUCCAGGUUCAGCCUUCCCGGACGGUAAUGUUGCUUUCUGAAGAGCUAAUUUCCCGCCAACUCAUCUCUGGACUUCUCUGGGGCCCAACUCUGAUUUCCUGCCUGCAGGAGGUCCCCUCUGACUUCCGAUAGUAGAUGAUCCUUCUGACUCACAGUUCUACUGCUGGGAAAUGCCUCCAGAGCUGCUGCCCACCCCCUCUGCAUCCCUCCAGGUCACUGGGUGUCAAGUCAGGGGAAGCAGGGAUGCACAUGGGUGGGAAACUCAGGCCUCCUAAAUGUCAGAGCCUCAGGACUUUGGCUACUCAGAAGUAGCUCCCUCCUGGGCCAGGAAGCAGCAGGGCAGCCAGCAUCCCGACGUCACUCCUGGACUCUGCUGCUCAGAGGCUAGACAGAGAACCAAGGUGGGAAAGAGGCUUAAACCACAGCGUGGGGAGAUUUAGGUUAGGUGGGUCAGAGGAAGUUUAGGACAAGACUUGUCCUUUUCGGGCUCUGUCCAGCUUCAGCACAGCCACUGCUUCCUCUCUUUGGUUUUUCCCAUCCGCCUCUCUCCCACCACCUCUAUCCCCUUCCAGCUUUUCUUCUUUCUUUCCCCCCUUCCCAGACCCCAAAGUUUCUCAGGAUUAGCUGCCCAUGUGCAUAUCUCCCCCACCCCCAAAUCUUUCCUCACUGUCUCACAGAAACAGGCAAACACACACACAUGCACACAACCAUGAGUGGCCCUGAGAGUUCCCUGAUUGGACUGAGGUUGGAGCCCCAGCUCUUGUCCUGAGCUGAGGCCCUUCCCCCAGGUAUCUUGGGGCUUCUUCCAUCAUUUCUCUUGACAGGAGCUGUGGGCGUCUGGGCAGAUGGGAACCUGGGGGAGGUGUGGGGAGCACUCUCUGAGGCAGGAAGCUCCCACACUACUGUAGUUAAAAUACUCCGGCAGCAACUUGGGGCAGCCAUCUGGGAUGCCCAGAUUUCCCAGGACACUCAGCUCUCAACAACAACCCUAUAGGAACAAAUUAAAAACCUAAGAGAUAGUUGUAGGCCCUGGAAAUGUCUCCCAAAAGUGGCCUGAACUUGAGUUCUGUUUCCUUUUAUCUUCUUCAGGGUUAGCAUUGGGCAUUGGCAUUUACAAAAACUCUCUAAGCAUUAAGCAAAAGUUAUAGGAGUGGAAGAUACAGCAUUCUGGAUCUCCAGUCCUAAUACCCAGCCACACCCCAGCAGCUAUGCAUGGUUCCAUGGGAAAACAGGCAUAGCCCAUCCUGCUGGCAUAUAGUCCAGCCACAUCUUCCAAUGCCCACCUGGAGACUGAGCCCAGUUCUGCCCAGCAACAGGAGCUCAGAGCUCUAGAGAGCCUCUCCUGGGGUGCAGACUCAGGAGAUCUUAGCUCAGGAGCAGACUUAGCCUGACUUCCUCUUUUAUAGGAGGAGACAGACUUAGUUACAGAGGAAACCAGAGUUGUUAUAAAUAGCAAGGAAGGGAGAAAACUGCUAUGGAUUACAAACACACCAUCAAUCUUAAACUAUUUUUAGUUUCAAAUAAUAAUGAGAGUCUAAUUAAUGCUCUGUAUAACUUCAAAUGUGGGAUCUUUAUCUACCUUUCUACUUUGUGAUGCUUUCUAAUACAGUAUGAGGGCCAAAGGCAGGAAGAGCUAUGGGCAAUUCUCAAUGUUACCAAAUCCUAGAUAUGGAAAGAACCUGAGAAAUUUAGUCUAGCCCUUUCAUUUUCUGUGAAGAAACUGAGGCCCAGAGAGGUCAAAGGACUUGUCCAAAGUUGCACAGUAAGAUAGGGACUGAGCAGUGACUAAAAGCCUAGUCCCGGUACUCCAGAAGCAGGGCAGUUCCACAACAGCACAAUAGAACCCAAAGGCUAAACAUCUAUGGUUGGGCUGUUGGUGAGUUUAUAGCCUGGAUAAAAGUUAGGUCUGGGCCAGGUGUGGAGGCUCACGCCUGUAAUCCCAGCACUUUGGGAGGCUGAGGCGGCUGGAUUGCUUGAGGCCAGGAGUCCGAGACCAACCUGGCCAACAUGGCAAAACCUCACCUCUACUAAAAAAUACAAAACUUAGCCAGAUGUGAUGGCACAUGCCUGUAAUCCCAGCUACUCAGGAGGCUGAGGCACAAGAAUCGGUUGAACCCAGGAGGUGGAGAUUUCAGUGAGCUGAGAUCGCACCGCUGUACUCCAACCUGGGGAACAAAGCAAGACUCUGUCUCAAACAAACAAAAAAGGUCUGAAUGAAAUAGCAAAAGACAGCCCAGAAGCUGAAGUGUGGUCUUCUGCGUCCCAGAGUUUUGGGUUCAAAUCCCAGCUCUGCAACUGACUAGCUAUGUAACCCUGGGCCGGUGUGUAACUACUCCAAGCAUCAGCUCCCACAUCUCAAAAUGAGGAUAAUCACACUCACUUCAUUACAGGACUAUUAUGAGGUUUAAAUGAGGUAACGUGGGUCAAGCAUCCAGCACAGUGCUCAGCAAAAAAUGGAUGUUAAUUUCCUUCACAUUUCUCUUGGAUUCUCUAUCCCUUCUUCAAUGGACUCCUAUCCUCUAACUGGACAGAAGGGCAGAUUUGUCAUAAAGCAGUCACGUGAGGGAUAAGAAGUCUCACAUGAGUGUGAAUGAAGUUGGGGGUGGGCGGGGGAUAGUUUAUGGCAAUGAAGUUUGCCUGGCGCAAGUGGUCAGUGUCAGAUCCAGAGGGUGGGAGAAGACAGAUUUGCGGAAAAUUAUCCAUCCUCUGCUAACCACUCAGUGACGGGCCUCGGGGUCCGGGGUCAGUGUUUGCAGGGGAGGAGGGAGGCUGGGCAUGCUGGGUCCUCAUUGUACACAAAUACCCGGGCCUCAACCUCACCCGUGUGCCACACUGUGCCAAGGGUGUUACAUAACAUUUCUCUUUUAAUCCUCACAACAAUCUAUGAGGCAAAUACUCUUCUCGUCCCCAUUUUGCAGAAGAGGAAAUGAGCUCAAAGGUCACUUGGCUAGUGUAGUAGUCAUUAGUGCUGUCUCCAAAUAUUUCCGGCUCUCUGCCUUCUGGCACAAGGUAGGACUGCAUGUUCUCACUCUUCUUUGAUGCUAGCUGUGGACAUGUGAACAACUUUAACCAAUAAAACGUGGCGGAACUGAUGUGCGUUAGCUCUAGCGGAAGCAUUAAGACUCUGGCACCCUCACACCUAUGUUGUUCAUAGAGUGUAAAUGAGAAAUAAACUUUCAUUGUGUUAAACCACUGAA